RNAcentral lists this long non-coding RNA (1417 nucleotides) under Fragaria vesca (wild strawberry). RNAcentral's name for it is "long non-coding RNA (FVES_LNC005018)". The record is from RNAcentral. Lineage: Eukaryota; Viridiplantae; Streptophyta; Magnoliopsida; Rosales; Rosaceae.
AAGUCUGGACUAUAGCCGACGACAUUAUUUCGUCGGCUAAAGUCUUGACUUUAGCCGACGACUUAUACGUGUGUCGUCGGCUAAAGUCACCACAGACGAGCUUUUCCCGACGAAAUCUUAGCCGACGAAAGGUCGUCGGCUAAGAUCUUAGCCGACGAAUUAAGCUGACAGGCCGACGAAAAAUUUUCGUCGGCUAAAGUGCUUGUCCUGGUAGUGACUUUAAGCUUUAUGUAACCAUCUAGUUGCAGCUAGCUUACACAGUCUGCCAAGCUAUCCAACACCACGAUUUAAGUCAUAGUCAAUUUAAAAUCGGGCCUAAUAGGCCAAUUCCCAAUCUGACAUUUUAAGGGUUUAGUUUUAGACCUAGGCCCAUUCCCAAACCCUACUAGAGAUGCUUCGCGUGUUGCAGACACGUUGACAACAGCCAAGGCAAUGCCUCCAUACCUUAGUCUCCCCUAUUCCUGUUCUCUUCCAGGUUAGCACCAACUCUUUUUCCUGCCACCAUUCACGAAACCCCGGCAACCAUGGUUCCCUGGCAAAAACUAGUUUAAUCGGCGCCAUUAGACCCGAUUGAAUUCUUCUUCCGAUCACAAGACCGAUCGAGAUAUCCAGUGCUCUUGGACAUGACGUCCACGUCGGCUCUUUCGUUAGAUCCAUCCUCAUAAGGUCCAUCUCGGCCAGCAUACGCCCACCGUCGUCAAAACCGCUAAUCCUCACAGCUAAAGACUACCUCGAGAUACAAGGAUUAUGGAUUAGUUGUAUUGUGAUCCGGGCAACGUUGCCGGAGACGCCAUCGACUCCCCAUGCCGUAGUGCCCACAGAUCCGUCCUUAGUUGGUCGACGGAGGAAAAAGGAAUGCGCUGCCGCCUUGGAUGCAAAACUCUUGUUUUCUGUUUCGAUACAGCUCCGCCAUAUACGGAGCAUGUUUUUCUUAGAAGCUUAAAUUAUUCUCGUUGCCAAAUACAAAAAAAAAAUGCAGAUGUUAUGUCAUUUAGCAAUAACAAACAUAAAAGAAAUUUUAAGGGCUUGUCCGGCAACGUUUUUGAAAACGAUUUUCAAAAUUGAUUUUAAAAAAUAAAAAUGAGAAAAUCAGAUUGUAUUUUCUAUUUUGGAAAUGUUUUCGGUAAUUUAUUGUGAAAAGUAUUUUUCAUAUUUUCUAACCUAAGAAAAUGAAAAAAUGAAAAAUUCAAAUUGAUGUUUUUGAUGAAGGAUAAAGUGUAGAGACAAAGAGAUAGCAAGAGAAUCAUCUUAUUCACUGAUAGGAGCCCUUUAUAUAGGGAAUUACACAAUACCAAUAUGGUAAGGAUAUGAAUACAUAGAUCUAGUCUAACUACAUAUCCUAUUAGCAUAAGGCCAAGGCACACAUAGAGAAUAUCCUAGAACACUCCCCCUUCGUGCCGCGCGCUGAUAUGCCGAU